UACGGAGGAUGCGAGCGUUAUCCGGAUUUAUUGGGUUUAAAGGGUGCGUAGGCGGGCUUUUAAGUCAGCGGUAAAAAUUCGGGCUCAACUUGAGUGCUGCAUUUCAAACUGGAAGUCUAGAGUGCAGGAGAGGAGAAUGGAAUUCCUAGUGUAGCGGUGAAAUGCGUAGAGAUUAGGAAGAACACCAGUGGCGAAGGCGAUUCUCUGGACUGUAACUGACGCUGAGGCUCGAAAGCGUGGGGAGCAAACAGG
RNAcentral lists this ribosomal RNA (252 nucleotides) under uncultured bacterium. RNAcentral describes it as "partial 16S ribosomal RNA". It matches the Rfam family "Bacterial small subunit ribosomal RNA", at positions 524 to 776 of the family's 1533-position model. The record is from RNAcentral.